Molecule: ribosomal RNA, 483 nt
Filed under: uncultured bacterium
Lineage: Bacteria
Description: bacterial SSU rRNA
Rfam family: Bacterial small subunit ribosomal RNA
Source: RNAcentral
GAUGAACGCUAGCGAUAGGCCUAACACAUGCAAGUCGAGGGGCAUCACAUGAAGUAGCAAUACGGAUGGUGGCGACCGGCGCACGGGUGAGUAACACGUAUGCAACCUGCCUUCAACAAGGGGAUAACCCGUUGAAAGACGGACUAAUACCCUAUAACACAGGGGUCCCGCAUGGGAAUAUUUGUUAAAGGACAACCGGUUGAAGAUGGGCAUGCGUUCCAUUAGCUAGUUGGCGGGGUAACGGCCCACCAAGGCAACGAUGGAUAGGGGAACUGAGAGGUUUAUCCCCCACACUGGUACUGAGACACGGACCAGACUCCUACGGGAGGCAGCAGUGAGGAAUAUUGGUCAAUGGACGCAAGUCUGAACCAGCCACGUCGCGUGAAGGAAGACGGCCCUACGGGUUGUAAACUUCUUUUAUACGGGAAUAAAGUGCCCCACGCGUGGGGUUUUGCAUGUACCGUAUGAUAAGAUCGGCUAACU